AUUGAACGCUGGCGGCAGGCCUAACACAUGCAAGUCGAGCGGAUGAAGGGAGCUUGCUCCUGGAUUCAGCGGCGGACGGGUGAGUAAUGCCUAGGAAUCUGCCUGGUAGUGGGGGAUAACGUCCGGAAACGGGCGCUAAUACCGCAUACGUCCUGAGGGAGAAAGUGGGGGAUCUUCGGACCUCACGCUAUCAGAUGAGCCUAGGUCGGAUUAGCUAGUUGGUGGGGUAAAGGCCUACCAAGGCGACGAUCCGUAACUGGUCUGAGAGGAUGAUCAGUCACACUGGAACUGAGACACGGUCCAGACUCCUACGGGAGGCAGCAGUGGGGAAUAUUGGACCAUGGGCGAAAGCCUGAUCCAGCCAGGCCGCGUGUGUGAAGAAGGUCUUCGGAUUGUAAAGCACUUUAAGUGGGGAGGAAGGGCAGUAAGUUAAUACCUUGCUGUUUUGACGUUACCAACAGAAUAAGCACCGGCUAACUUCGUG
RNAcentral lists this ribosomal RNA (484 nucleotides) under uncultured bacterium. RNAcentral describes it as "partial 16S ribosomal RNA". It matches the Rfam family "Bacterial small subunit ribosomal RNA", at positions 30 to 507 of the family's 1533-position model. The record is from RNAcentral.